RNAcentral lists this ribosomal RNA (253 nucleotides) under uncultured bacterium. RNAcentral describes it as "partial 16S ribosomal RNA". It matches the Rfam family "Bacterial small subunit ribosomal RNA", at positions 524 to 776 of the family's 1533-position model. The record is from RNAcentral.
UACGUAGGUGGCGAGCGUUGUCCGGAUUUACUGGGCGUAAAGAGCGCGCAGGCGGUCGUUCAAGUCGCGUGUGAAAGCCCCCGGCUCAACUGGGGAGGGUCAUUCGAUACUGAUCGACUCGAAGGCAGGAGAGGGUAGUGGAAUUCCCGGUGUAGUGGUGAAAUGCGUAGAUAUCGGGAGGAACACCAGUGGCGAAGGCGACUACCUGGCCUGUUCUUGACGCUGAGGCGCGAAAGCUAGGGGAGCAAACGGG